Molecule: RNase P RNA, 371 nt
Filed under: Alphaproteobacteria bacterium
Lineage: Bacteria; Pseudomonadati; Pseudomonadota; Alphaproteobacteria
Description: RNase P RNA component class A
Rfam family: Bacterial RNase P class A
About the family: Ribonuclease P (RNase P) is a ubiquitous endoribonuclease, found in archaea, bacteria and eukarya as well as chloroplasts and mitochondria. Its best characterised activity is the generation of mature 5'-ends of tRNAs by cleaving the 5'-leader elements of precursor-tRNAs. Cellular RNase Ps are ribonucleoproteins.
Source: RNAcentral
UCGGAUGACAGGGUGAUCGCUUGUGGUGACAUGAGAGGAAAGUCCGGACAUCACGGAAAAAUGACAGCGGUUAAUGGCCGCCCGGGGUAACUCGAGAGAAAGUGCAACAGAAAACAAACCGCCUUGUUCGCAAGGUAAGGGUGAAAAGGUGCGGUAAGAGCGCACCGCGUUGAUGGUAACAUUGACGGCAGUGUAAACCUUGUCAGAUGCAAGCCCAAAUAGGACUGUCUUAUGAUGCUUUUCCGCAUCGAUGGUCGGGUAGGGCGCUUGAGGUGGUUGGCAACAACCAUCCUAGAUGAAUGAUUGCUGCCUCUUCCCCACUUUAUGUGUGGAUGCGGAUACAAAAUCCGGCUUAUAAGUCAUCCGAUUUU